This 77-nucleotide transfer RNA is filed under the name Methylococcaceae bacterium. RNAcentral's name for it is "tRNA-Arg". It matches the Rfam family "tRNA". From Rfam's summary of the family: Transfer RNA (tRNA) molecules are approximately 80 nucleotides in length. The record is from RNAcentral. RNAcentral also lists the same sequence under 1 other name. Lineage: Bacteria; Pseudomonadati; Pseudomonadota; Gammaproteobacteria; Methylococcales; Methylococcaceae.
GUCUCCGUAGCAUAAUUGGAUAAUGCAGACCCCUCCUAAGGGUCAGAGUAGAGGUUCGAAUCCUCUCGGGGACGCCA